This 508-nucleotide ribosomal RNA is filed under the name Blautia wexlerae. RNAcentral's name for it is "bacterial SSU rRNA". It matches the Rfam family "Bacterial small subunit ribosomal RNA", at positions 1033 to 1533 of the family's 1533-position model. The record is from RNAcentral. Lineage: Bacteria; Bacillati; Bacillota; Clostridia; Lachnospirales; Lachnospiraceae.
GACAGGUGGUGCAUGGUUGUCGUCAGCUCGUGUCGUGAGAUGUUGGGUUAAGUCCCGCAACGAGCGCAACCCCUAUCCUCAGUAGCCAGCAUUUAAGGUGGGCACUCUGGGGAGACUGCCAGGGAUAACCUGGAGGAAGGCGGGGAUGACGUCAAAUCAUCAUGCCCCUUAUGAUUUGGGCUACACACGUGCUACAAUGGCGUAAACAAAGGGAAGCGAGAUCGUGAGAUGGAGCAAAUCCCAAAAAUAACGUCCCAGUUCGGACUGUAGUCUGCAACCCGACUACACGAAGCUGGAAUCGCUAGUAAUCGCGGAUCAGAAUGCCGCGGUGAAUACGUUCCCGGGUCUUGUACACACCGCCCGUCACACCAUGGGAGUCAGUAACGCCCGAAGUCAGUGACCUAACUGCAAAGAAGGAGCUGCCGAAGGCGGGACCGAUGACUGGGGUGAAGUCGUAACAAGGUAGCCGUAUCGGAAGGUGCGGCUGGAUCACCUCCUUUCUAAGGAA